AACGAACGCUGGCGGCAUGCCUAACACAUGCAAGUCGAACGAAACCUUCGGGUCUAGUGGCGCACGGGUGCGUAACGCGUGGGAACCUGCCCUUAGGUUCGGAAUAACUCCCCGAAAGGGGUGCUAAUACCGGAUAAUGUCUUCUAACCAAAGAUUUAUUGCCUUUGGAUGGGCCCGCGUUGGAUUAGCUAGUUGGUAGGGUAAUAGCCUACCAAGGCGACGAUCCAUAGCUGGUCUGAGAGGAUGAUCAGCCACACUGGGACUGAGACACGGCCCAGACUCCUACGGGAGGCAGCAGUGGGGAAUAUUGGACAAUGGGCGAAAGCCUGAUCCAGCAAUGCCGCGUGAGUGAUGAAGGCCUUAGGGUUGUAAAGCUCUUUUACCCGGGAUGAUAAUGACAGUACCGGGAGAAUAAGCUCCGGCUAACUCCGUG
Molecule: ribosomal RNA, 433 nt
Filed under: uncultured bacterium
Lineage: Bacteria
Description: partial 16S ribosomal RNA
Rfam family: Bacterial small subunit ribosomal RNA
Source: RNAcentral